ACUUCCCCUCAACGCGCUGCUCAGGGAUGACCUUCGGCACUGUGCUUCUUCUGAGUGUCCUGGCUUCUUAUCAUGGAUUCAACCUGGAUGUGGAGGAGCCUACGAUCUUCCAGGAGGAUGCAGGCGGCUUUGGGCAGAGCGUGGUGCAGUUCGGUGGAUCUCGACUCGUGGUGGGAGCACCCCUGGAGGUGGUGGCGGCCAACCAGACGGGACGGCUGUAUGACUGCGCAGCUGCCACCGGCAUGUGCCAGCCCAUCCCGCUGCACAUCCGCCCUGAGGCCGUGAACAUGUCCUUGGGCCUGACCCUGGCAGCCUCCACCAACGGCUCCCAGCUCCUGGCCUGUGGCCCGACCCUGCACAGAGUCUGUGGGGAGAACUCGUACUCAAAGGGUUCCUGCCUCCUGCUGGGCUCGCGCUGGGAGAUCAUCCAGACAGUCCCCGACGCCACGCCAGAGUGUCCACAUCAAGAGAUGGACAUCGUCUUCCUGAUUGACGGCUCUGGAAGCAUUGACCAAAAUGACUUUAACCAGAUGAAGGGCUUUGUCCAAGCUGUCAUGGGCCAGUUUGAGGGCACUGACACCCUGUUUGCACUGAUGCAGUACUCAAACCUCCUGAAGAUCCACUUCACCUUCACCCAAUUCCGGACCAGCCCGAGCCAGCAGAGCCUGGUGGAUCCCAUCGUCCAACUGAAAGGCCUGACGUUCACGGCCACGGGCAUCCAGACAGUGGUGACACAGCUAUUUCAUCAUAAGAAUGGGGCCCGAAAAAGUGCCAAGAAGAUCCUCAUUGUCAUCACAGAUGGGCAGAAGUACAAAGACCCCCUGGAAUACAGUGAUGUCAUCCCCCAGGCAGAGAAGGCUGGCAUCAUCCGCUACGCUAUCGGGGUGCGUCUCUUCUUCACCCCUGCCCCAGGCUCAGCCUGCACCUCCUUCAGGUGCAGUGCUGCUGGGCUCAUCCUCCUCGGCUGCCUCUCUGCUGCAGGUGGGACACGCUUUCCAGGGACCCACUGCCAGGCAGGAGCUGAAUACCAUCAGCUCAGCGCCUCCGCAGGACCACGUGUUCAAGGUGGACAACUUUGCAGCCCUUGGCAGCAUCCAGAAGCAGCUGCAGGAGAAGAUCUAUGCAGUUGAGGGAACCCAGUCCAGGGCAAGCAGCUCCUUCCAGCACGAGAUGUCCCAAGAAGGCUUCAGCACAGCCCUCACAAUGGUGGGUAGAGCCUGCCCUCAAUCCAUAGCUCUUGGAUACCAACUCUGCGCCCACCCUGGGCUGGGGGCUGGGAGCCAGACAUAAACAAGAGCAGACCCCAUCCUCAAUCGCCAGGGAGAGG
This 1327-nucleotide small RNA is filed under the name Pan troglodytes (chimpanzee). RNAcentral describes it as "retained intron". The record is from RNAcentral. Lineage: Eukaryota; Metazoa; Chordata; Mammalia; Primates; Hominidae.